UACGUAAGGGGCGAGCGUUGUUCGGAAUUACUGGGCGUAAAGGGCCUGCAGGCGGACUGCUAAGUCAGGUGUGAAAGGUUUCAGCUUAACUGAAAGAUUGCGCUUGAAACUGGUGGUCUAGAGUGUCGGAGAGGAUACUGGAAUUCCUGGUGUAGGGGUGAAAUCUAUAGAUAUCAGGAAGAACACCGGUGGCGAAGGCGGGUAUCUGGCCGGACACUGACGCUGAGGGGCGAAAGCAUGGGGAG
Molecule: ribosomal RNA, 245 nt
Filed under: uncultured bacterium
Lineage: Bacteria
Description: partial 16S ribosomal RNA
Rfam family: Bacterial small subunit ribosomal RNA
Source: RNAcentral